UGGGGAAUUUGGACAAUGGGCGAAAGCCUGAUCCAGCAAUGCCGCGUGUGUGAAGAAGGCCUUCGGGUUGUAAAGCACUUUUGUCCGGAAAGAAAUCCUUGGCUCUAAUACAGUCGGGGGAUGACGGUACCGGAAGAAUAAGUACCGGCUAACUACGUGCCAGCAGCCGCGGUAAUACGUAGGGUGCAAGCGUUAAUCGGAAUUACUGGGCGUAAAGCGUGCGCAGGCGGUUUGCUAAGACCGAUGUGAAAUCCCCGGGCUCAACCUGGGAACUGCAUUGGUGACUGGCAGGCUAGAGUAUGGCAGAGGGGGGUAGAAUUCCACGUGUAGCAGUGAAAUGCGUAGAGAUGUGGAGGAAUACCGAUGGCGAAGGCAGCCCCCUGGGCCAAUACUGACGCUCAUGCACGAAAGCGUGGGGAGCAAACAGGAUUAGAUACCCUGGUAGUCCACGCCCUAAACGAUGUCAACUAGUUGUUGGGGAUUCAUUUCCUUAGUAACGUAGCUAACGCGUGAAGUUUGACCGCCUGGGGAGUACGGUCGCAAGAUUAAAAA
RNAcentral lists this ribosomal RNA (552 nucleotides) under uncultured bacterium. RNAcentral's name for it is "partial 16S ribosomal RNA". It matches the Rfam family "Bacterial small subunit ribosomal RNA", at positions 356 to 900 of the family's 1533-position model. The record is from RNAcentral.